RNAcentral lists this ribosomal RNA (373 nucleotides) under uncultured bacterium. RNAcentral describes it as "bacterial SSU rRNA". It matches the Rfam family "Bacterial small subunit ribosomal RNA", at positions 521 to 896 of the family's 1533-position model. The record is from RNAcentral.
UAAUACGAAGGAUCCAAGCGUUAUCCGGAUUUAUUGGGUUUAAAGGGUGCGUAGGCGGACUAUUAAGUCAGUGGUGAAAGCCUGCAGCUUAACUGCAGAACUGCCAUUGAUACUGAUGGUCUUGAGUACAUUUGAGGUGGGCGGAAUGUGUCAUGUAGUGGUGAAAUACUUAGAUAUGACACAGAACUCCGAUUGCGAAGGCAGCUCACUAAACUGUAACUGACGCUGAGGCACGAAAGCGUGGGGAUCAAACAGGAUUAGAUACCCUGGUAGUCCACGCCCUAAACGAUGAUUACUCGAUGUGUGCGAUACACUGUACGCGUCUGAGCGAAAGCAUUAAGUAAUCCACCUGGGGAGUACGGCCGCAAGGCUG